UGUUAACCACGGUUCUAAAUUAAUGCACUGCCUGUAAACAAAUGUAACCAUAGUAACAGUUAAACUCACAGCUUUGUUAUUAGUAGAAAUUUGGCACAGAUGCAGGAAGUCGUUAUAAACUUGUGGCUGAUUCCCGAAUUGGAGCUUCACUUGAUCAAGGUAGGAAAGAGCGUCUUCCACCUGCAGGCAUCCAAACACAACAGAGAAAUCACAAUCAACACUCAGUCAGCAGUUAACGUAGACUCAUGCUGGCGGAAACAACUCGGUAAAGUUUACAUAUGGACUGAAGUCGUACCUUAAGCCUCUGGAACUGCUGCUGGCCUGGUGUUGGAGCAGAAGCAGGCGGGGCAUGAGAGUGACCCUGACCCACGGCGGCUCCUGUAGGCUGGACCACAGGGCCGUGAUGAUGUGCGCCAGCAUGCACUGCAGGACUGUCGCUGUGUCCAUGUCCUCCAGAGCUCUGAGCCAAGGGCACCUGAAAGGGGAAAAUAUAAAUAUAUUUUUUAAAUGUAACUCAGCCUGAGCACUAAUAGUCUAUGUUUUGCUUAACUGAACCAAUACUGCAAUUAUUUGUUGCAGAUAAUGGAGAUGACUUAACAUUACAGUAAAGAUUUUUAAAUAAGCGAAUUAACUGUGCAGCCUGUAUUUACUCUGAGCGUUAUCUACUUGAAGCUAGGGCUGCAACAACUAAUCAAUAAAAAUCGAUAAGUAAAAUAAGCGACAACAAAUUUGAUUAUGGAUUAGUUGGGUCUGUGAAUGGUGAAAAAUGCAUUUCUAUGAUUAAAACACAUCUGGGAAACAGCGGAGUGAGCUGCUGCAGGAAAAGUGCAUGAUCCAGGUCGUCCAAAACAUGAGAGUGUUUUAUAUUAAGCGCUUCAAACAAACUCGUAAGUGUAUUAACGUGGCUUGUCAUGUCAGAUGCUGCGACAGAUGCAUGUGCUGUUUAAUGUGUUCCAGACAUGUUUUUUCUUCAGUGGAGAAAUGACAUUUAUAUGCUCAUCUGUAAAUGUUAGAAAUUAAUGCAAGUAUUUCCAAUUUACAUAAAGGCUCGUCCUGACAGCGAGUGAGUCUCCAGUAAACUUCACUGAAUGCGUGCGAGUCCACACACGCGUGUCAAAUAGCGCGCAAUAGAAAUGAAGCGCAAUAACUCUGACUAAAAUAUUCAUUUUGAUCAAAUGUGUUGUUUGCUGCUAUAUUUAGCAACAAAAGUAAUUGUGUUUUUUAUGAGCGCGGUAACUGUAAUGGGGUUAGAUCAUGUAAUUGUUUAGAAAUGUAAGAAGUGUCAUACAUUUACAGAAUAAAGUAACAUGUUACUGUGUA
Ictalurus furcatus (blue catfish) is the source of this 1320-nucleotide long non-coding RNA. RefSeq lists it as uncharacterized. The record is from RefSeq and is a predicted model, not a curated record. The transcript is spliced from 2 exons. NCBI's taxonomy places the organism in Eukaryota, Metazoa, Chordata, Actinopteri, Siluriformes, Ictaluridae.